UCAUCUUCAUAUCCCAGAGGACAUCUCCAUCAGUACUGAACGAUGGACUGGAAUGGAAAUUACAUAUAAGUGUCAGACCUCUGAAAGAAGACAAACUGAAGGAGGACUCGGUAUCUGGAAGUGUGUCACCACCUAGUGACGGAGCCCAGAAGUGACCGUGAGUCAGAGCUCUGUGUGUGCAGUUCGAACAGCUCCUGGAGGAAGGGAUGAAGCAAACUGAGAGAAGAAGGAAAAACUUUUCUACUACCAUUUACAAAGAAGAAAAUAUCUCACCUGGGAAGAAGACUGAGAGGCUGUCCCAGAGAGAAAGACUUUCUUAAUGAACAGAAUUGUGUCUAUUCCCAUGUAAAAAAAGUGGGUUUGGAAGUUCAGACAAGGAAGUAUUUUACUAGAAGCUGCUUUUCACUGAAGUACUGGGACAUUUGAAAAAACCUUGAAACAGAAAAAGCUGGAACAGAUUUCCAGGGGUUAUCUCCUAGCAGUCAUGAUGGUUUUUAAUCUUGGUUUCUCCUACAGUCCUCUUGAAACAUCUCAUUCUUCCUGCCUGUCCACAGUUACUCACUGGAUGUUGAUUUUAUCAUCAAAGAAUCUGGGUUAGUGAAGUGAAUUUGGCUCAAGGUCUCACAAAGAGGUCACUGUGACUCAGCGAAACAUUCUACAGCCAAAUAGAAACUGAACACUCUUGUCUAAAUUUUAAGACAAUUUCAGUAGAAAAAUAGAGACAACUUCUGUCAGUAAAGUGCAGGAUCCUGCAGGAUCAGAGGCUGAACUGCACUAAAUGCAUUUAAAAUGUACAUAAUUAGUAAUUAAAAUAUUGUACAUUUCCACAGAGAAGGUGUUCAAAUGACCAAAAUUUCAAAAACUAGAAACAUAAACCCAGGUUAAAAUACCUACCUUAAAGACAGACCUGAUUUUUCUAAUCCACUCAUCCACCACUUCUUCCCAAUGACUUUAGUGGAACCAACCCAUUUAAAAGUCAGGCUACUCUCCUAGAGCAUGCUUUCAGGUAGAUUUAGGAUCACAGGUUUUCUUUUGAAAACCAUCUGGUCUUGGCUGUAUCCGUGCUCAGCUUUAGCUCCAUCGUUUGUUUUAGUUCAAGUAACACAAUAUACAGCAGCACUUCCCUUGGCUGCCAGAUUUAGUCAUACAACCAUAACGACACAAUCUGAGAAUGUGUCUAACAUUUCACUGUAUGUUUGUGUCUUCCAGACAGUUUUCCUAAGUAGGGGAGCUAGUGAUGCUUCACAAGCAACCAGCAUGAAUAUGGAGCAAAGUACUCAUUUUGGCUCGUAGCCUGCCAGGAGCCUAGUGACUCCUUCCAGCUCCACCCACCAUCCCUAGACUUUAAACCAAUGGUUCCAAACUUGGUGAAAUUCUGUCACUGUCGGUGAACAAUGGAUCACAGUCACCAGUGGGUACCAGAGACCCAGCUGCCUUUAGGACUGCACUUCUCUAAGUGUCACGUGUCUCUGUUCUAGACUUUUCAAAAUGCUACUUUUUCCAGCAGCAUGACACAAUUCUUUGGGGCUUUAUUUCUUUUGAUGGUAAGAGAUGGUAGCAGAGAAGAGUAACAAGAGUCUUAACAAGUAAAGACAUAAUUUUCUUCAAAUUCAUUUUACAUCAGUUCACAUAAGGCCUCUCUCUAGCCAGAGAAUAGACCUAAGCUAGCAUCAGACUUGUUAGCCAUUAGUUCUGCACUCUUAAAUUUGUCUGCAAAAAAUUAUUUUGAUAGCAACCAAAAGAGUGUUGGCAGACUUGUGGAACAAAAUGAUAUCAUUUACUCAUUUUCUGUGAGAUAAUAAUGACAUUUUAAUUGAAAAAUGUACUCUAAUUACAUCUUUAUAAGCCUGCCUCAGGAGCACAGUAAAAGAACAAAUGGCAAUAUUUUUACUGUACCACAUGAGAAAAGGCUCUCAAAGUCUUAUUUGUAUCAUUUCAUGCAUGUUCAGGAGAUGGAAGCCUCAUAAAAGCAAAAUUAUUUCCUGAUUUUCUCUGAUCCAAAGGAAACUUCAGCCACAUGAAUUAGGGGCAGACUCCGAGGUGGGACUCACUCAUACACCCGGGUGUCCCAUGCCCAGUAUGUGUAGGGAUAUCUCCCUCAGCUUUCACCUGCAGCUCCCAAAGGACAUAGGUCUCUAUGUGUUAUCUUUUAACAGACCACCUGCAGAGGGGUUCAGUGUUAAAAAUGGCACUGGAUGCUUCUGUUUAGGCACCUGGGUCUCUUCCUCCAUGUCAGAGUCAAAUUUGUUUUCCUAAGAAAUUUUCCAGCUGAACCCUGAAAGGGCAGGAAGGAAGAAGAAAUUACUCUCCCAGCCUUGGGUUGCUGCUCCUCUGCCAUGGUUCCAUGAGCAAGUCUUUUUUUGCAAAGAAACCAGGCUGAAAUUGCUGCAAAGGGUAGAUUUUUAUUUAUAACACAACCUACUCCCUCUGUGGAGCUGGAGGCACUGUGCAAAAAGUCAUAAUAAAUCUUAUGAAACAGGAUAAAUAAGUAAGCCCCUUGAAUCCUAGCUGUAGAAUUGAGGUAGAAUAGUGAAUGGAAAAUUAGAUUUUUGUUUUCUCUUCAUUGUUCAAGUUCCAUGUGAUUUUGGAGGCUGUAAAUAUUUUGGGGUCUGUGAAGGGGCAGGAGACUGCCAAGGGUCAGGGAGAUGAGAGUACCUCAAGCACCAGAGGGAAAAGGGCAGAGGUGUCUGUCCCUCAGUUGGGAACCUGCUGAUCUGGGAUGCGGGGAGCACUGCAGCGCAAAAGGCUGGUCCUGGCACAGCUCCUCACCCCUCUCCAAACCAGCAGCACCGGGAAGCAUGGUGGGAAAUGACUUAGAGAAAUCCCAGGACAAGGAUUUCUGGAAAGAAGAUCAGCUCCUCUGGGAGAAAGAUCUCCCUUCUGGAGGAGGACAGCAUUCUAUGGGAAGAAAAAGAAACUCUGUGGACAGAUAAAACAGCUCUCCUGGAGAAGAUAAAGAGGCCCUCCAGGAAUAUAAAACAGCCUUAAGGAUUAUAAAAUGUCCAUCCAGGUGGAGGCCUUUGGUCCUGAGAGAGGGUAUCUCCACAGGGAAAAAGCAUGAAUUUUUCUGCUAGGCUCAGAAAUACGUGGAAAGCCAUGCACACUGAAGUGGAUACUUUAUUUAAGUAGUGCUGAAUUUCAACCAUUGCUCUAAAAUAACAUCUGUCAUCCUUGGUAUAAAUCAGACGAGGGGUUUUGGUGUGAUUUUCUUUAAAGCCAUUGCACUCAUGCUUUCAGGACAUUAUUCAUUCUUUUGAGGUUCUGCAGCCUAAGGAAUGGGGUACACCUCUGGUUUCCUGGCCUGUUAACAGGACGUGUGGGUGGGUAAAGCCACAAGAAGGUGGGAACUUCACAGCUGCAAUCAUCUUCUGGAGCUCAGAACAGCUCACCUGGCUCAGUACAGUAUAUAUCAGCUAAAUAAGACACUGAUCAAUGGUCGCAGUCAGAUCGCCAAUAUUCAAGGGUCAGAGUUAACACUUGAGUCUUAAUGAGACGACUUGUGCUGUUCCACCAGGUUUGGUGGAACAUUUAAUUUCCCACUGCUCUCGGGAGCAUGACGGGAACAUUUACCCUCUUGGGUGAGCCUCCCUCAUCCGGUGUCUGUCUGAGAGAAGUUUUGGCAUCAGCCUUGCUGACAUGAACAGAGGGCAGGGAAGAAGUUGGAAGGAUGACAGAAAUCAGCAGUAUGGGGGAAAAGAUGAAAGCCGGAGGGAAAGCUGGCAGUAAGUCCCUCAAAGAGAGAAAUAAAUUUAUCAGUUUGUGUAUAUUUGUGUGUGUAUUGGUUUGGCACGGCCUGGUUUUUGGUAGCGGGGGAGCCACAGAGGUGUCUCCUGUGAGAACCUCCUGAAGCUUCCACGAUGUCCAGCAGAGCCAGUCUCUGAUGGCUCUGAAAGAUGGACGUACUGCUGGCCAAAACUGGGGCAGUGAGAGAGGUUGGUAGUACCUCUGUGAUGACAGAUUUAAGAAGAAAAUCAAAACAAAGUACACACAGUUUUGCUUCUCAUCAGAGAAGAGGAGGAGGUGAGAACAUGUGAGGGAAAACAACACGGCCAACACCAAGGUCGGUGAAGAAGGAG
This is a long non-coding RNA of Corvus hawaiiensis (hawaiian crow), 4076 nucleotides long. RefSeq lists it as uncharacterized. NCBI's taxonomy places the organism in Eukaryota, Metazoa, Chordata, Aves, Passeriformes, Corvidae. The record is from RefSeq and is a predicted model, not a curated record. The transcript is spliced from 3 exons.